RNAcentral lists this ribosomal RNA (253 nucleotides) under uncultured bacterium. Its description in RNAcentral is "partial 16S ribosomal RNA". It matches the Rfam family "Bacterial small subunit ribosomal RNA", at positions 524 to 776 of the family's 1533-position model. The record is from RNAcentral.
UACGUAGGGGGCAAGCGUUGUCCGGAUUUAUUGGGCGUAAAGAGCGUGUAGGCGGCCAUUCAGGUCAGCUGUGAAAACUCGAGGCUCAACCUCGAGACGUCGGUUGAAACCGUUUGGCUAGAGUCCGGAAGAGGAGAGUGGAAUUCCCGGUGUAGCGGUGAAAUGCGCAGAUAUCGGGAGGAACACCGGUGGCGAAGGCGGUUCUCUGGGCAUGUCCUGACGCUGAGGAGCGAAAGUGUGGGGAGCGAACAGG